AUUGAACGCUGGCGGCAUGCCUUACGCAUGCAAGUCGAACGGCAGCACGGGAGCAAUCCUGGUGGCGAGUGGCGAACGGGUGAGUAAAGUAUCGGAACGUGCCCAGUCGUGGGGGAUAACGUAGCGAAAGCUACGCUAAUACCGCAUACGAUCUAUGGAUGAAAGCGGGGGAUCGCAAGACCUCGCGCGAUUGGAGCGGCCGUUAUCAGAUUAGGUAGUUGGUGGGGUAAAGGCCCACCAAGCCGACGAUCUGUAGCUGGUCUGAGAGGACGACCAGUCACACUGGGACUGAGACACGGCCCAGACUCCUGCGGGAGGCAGCAGUGGGGAAUUUUGGACAAUGGGCGCAAGCCUGAUCCAGCAAUGCCGCGUGCAGGAUGAAGGCCUUCGGGUUGUAAACUGCUUUUGUACGGAGCGAAAAGGCUCGCACUAAUACUGUGGGCUCAUGACGGUACCGUAAGAAUAAGCACCGGCUAACUACGUGCCAGCAGCCGCAGUAA
This 500-nucleotide ribosomal RNA is filed under the name uncultured bacterium. RNAcentral's name for it is "partial 16S ribosomal RNA". It matches the Rfam family "Bacterial small subunit ribosomal RNA", at positions 30 to 523 of the family's 1533-position model. The record is from RNAcentral.